Molecule: long non-coding RNA, 1840 nt
Organism: Gasterosteus aculeatus aculeatus (three-spined stickleback)
Lineage: Eukaryota; Metazoa; Chordata; Actinopteri; Perciformes; Gasterosteidae
Source: Ensembl
GAAAUCUCCGAUAAGAUAGAAAUGUGAACCGUACGCAUCCGUGGCCCCGCCCGGUUAUUUGAAGCUCCCUCGAUAAGCUCCCGCGUUGAUGCAUGCAGCGUUUCUCAGUGUUUUAUAUUCAGUCGGUUGAGUCGUCCGCCGCUGCUGACGCACCAAUAUGCAGUUUGUUGGACCAACACUUUUGUGACUGCACUUUUCUUUUCUUUUUCUGUUUGUUUGUCCCUCGCGCUCAGCGGUGUGUCUACGGCCCAGCAACCAUAAACCCACAGACGGUGGUGAAGCUCAGUUGUCUACAGUGUUUUUAGUUGAUACUUUUAAGGUCUUUCCAUACGGUAUAUCAGUUUUCUUUAUGAUAUUGGAGCAUACAGUGUACAGUAUAUGCCUGUGUUUUUACGGUCAACAGCUGUCAAAUAAUUCUGAUGCUUUUUGACUGAUUGCAAUGUUUUUGUAAUGGAGUUACUUUUACUACAUGGACUAUAUCGACUCUAAUACUUAUGAAACCAACUUUAAGGAGAGCUGCUGGCUCGUUUUGCAAUUUGUGUCCACACAGCAAAAAGAUGAGUACAUGGGAUUUUCCCCCAAAUGAUUAAAUAAAAAAAAGUGUUUUCACUUACUACCAGUAACAUUUCAACAUGUAUAUUUUGAGUGGUUCACAGGGAGGUCAGUGUAUCAUCCAGAGUAACCCAAACAUUGUUACUGAAAACACUCUUUGCCGUCGAGUUUGAAUAGAAGUGAAAUGACGCUGCUGGGUGGGCAGUAAAUUAAAACAUUUGUGUCAUUUUGUUUAAAAAAAACAACCAUAUAUAAAAACACUUGUGGGGAAAUCGUGCCAGCGGGUUGCAGUUUAAACCUAAAAGAGGUUUGUUUGAAAGACUCGUUGAACCAGAUGGUUCUGCUUCCAUUGAAGCGAUUCGCUCGGCGGAUCCUGUUGCUUCGGGAGGAAACCGAAACGUAGAGCCGGAUCACUUGUUGAGAUUAAAUUUUUUUUACAGUGCAGCAAAACACUUUAAUCUGCCGCGAAUGCCACGUUAUAACACACAUGUUUAAUAGCUGGAAGCAACGCAGCUUUUGUAGCCAUGAAACCUGUUGAGGGGUCAGAGGGCGGCGAGGAAGGCUUUAAUGAGCUCUGACCUCGAGUUAAGACUUCAAGCCCACUUUCGGUAUUCUGAAACUCAAAGCUUUCAUCCUGCUCAUCUAGUAGAUACGGAUUUGUGUCGGAGCUUCUCGAAAAAACAUUUUUCUAUAUGACAACUGAUCAUUCGGGGAAUGAGGUAUUUUUUUCAUCGGCUUUGGUACACUGUAAACACAGCACUGUUGUUUCAGCCAGUAGAAGCCUAUCGGUUGAUGCACAGAAAUACGGUUCUUCUCCUUCACUUCUCAUGUGUUGUCCUCCCUCCCGUUGGUCUGCCGUUUAAUUAGAUGCGACAUUUCUUUCUUUCUCUCUCGUGUACAGCUUGCUUCAGAGUUUGUCCUCAGACGGGUACUAUUUCAUCUGUACGGUACUUAGGCUGAUGCAAUGAUUUAAAAGACAAUAAAAGACGUAUAAAAUGAAGAUGGCUGCUGUCUGCUUAAAUGUCCUUGGUUCAUGAUGUUAAGCCAAUCAUCAGCUCGUCACACACAUACAUUAUAUGCUGGAUAUAAAAAUGUCAUGUAUUAUUUUGGCUACCCAAAUCUAUUUUACAAAACUUUCAAUCAAUAUAUAAAGUGAGUUAUUUUUAAGUGGGUCUCCAUUUGGUUUGUGUCAUGCUAAGAAUAAAUACAAAUUUGAAGCCCAACACACAACAAUGCACGAGUAAAGGCAGUGAAGUGGAAGACUGUUGUCGAGGCAACAACACGGACA